CCCCAUGAUAGGCCCUGGUGUGUGAUGUCCCCCUUCCCGAGUCCAAGUGAUCUCGUUGUUCAGUUCCCACCUAUGAGUGAGAACAUGCGGUGUUUGGUUUUCUGUUCUUGUGAUAGUUUGCUAAGAAUGAUGGUUUAUUGCGGCACUAUUCACAAUAGCAAAGACUUGGAAUCAGCCCAAAUGUCCAUCAGUGACAGACUGGAUUAAGAAAAUGUGGCACAUAUACACCAUGGAAUACUAUGCAGCCAUAAAAAAGGAUGAGUUUGUGUCCUUUGUAGGGACAUGGAUGCAGCUGGAAAGUACAUUCUGUUUCUAGGGCAGCAUGACAACAGAGCCCCAACUGUCAGGCCAUUCUCCCUAUCUCAGCAUGUUACGUACCCAGCUGUUCUAGUGAUUAUUGAGAACUACAGGCAAGAAGGGCGCUGGGAGAAGGUCAGUUGGAUGCCUUCUGGAGAACUGUCCUUCCAAGGUGGAGAUCUGUCUUGAUACUGCAGAAAAAGUUAGCCUUUCCAUUAACUUUGGAGACACACAAAAUUUCCCACAUCUAUUUGGCUACAGUGGACCAGAGGAUUGCUUUCAUCUGUUUUCCCCUUGAGAGGUCAACAAGAAUUUCCCACACCACUGCUUUGGCAUGGCUAACAGCAGCAACUCAUAUUAUUGAUCCAUUUCUUCCCCAUCUCAUGUUAUGGAUGAGAAAUGUUCAUAAUCAUUAACCCCCAAAACUUGCAGAGUAUGCUGUUUUAUUCUGAAUGCUUUACAUUGUCACAAUUUUCCCAUUUCUUUAAUGUAGGCAGAUAAAAUCUACAUCCUAUCGCUCUCAACAGAAGCCUGAGGUGGUUGAUUAAAAC
This 848-nucleotide long non-coding RNA is filed under the name Macaca mulatta (Rhesus monkey). Its description in RNAcentral is "lncRNA (ENSMMUG00000051884.1)". The record is from RNAcentral. Lineage: Eukaryota; Metazoa; Chordata; Mammalia; Primates; Cercopithecidae.